AUUGUAAGCAUCACAAUAGUUAAUAUCCUGUAUGUGGCCUUAUACUGAUAAUAACGUGUAGUAUGCACCGGGCUUUAUACUUUUUGGUUGUUGUGUUUAUGGUCAUUUUAGUUUUAUAUAGAGAACUGUCAGAUUUUGGCGGAAUGCCGUCGACCGAUAUUAUGUACGAUUUGAUCUUAGUUAAUACGGUGUAUCGAUGUAAUAAAAGAAAUAUUAACUGGAUGCAGUGGUUUGUAUGAUAAACCCCAUUUACUGAGCUUUAAAUCAAUGAUCUUCUACAUCUCAGAAAGCGGGAUUAUGAAUUCAAAUGCCCACAUAGAUAUUGGAUGCACUUAAUUUAUUUUCACUUGUAUAGAGGUGCAUAAAAAUGUAAGUUGCUUGGUCUUUUAAAUGUUUGUUUCAUAGUCGAAACAGUUGAGUUGAUAGUAUAUAAAUGAUACAAGAUUUCAUUAGCUUGUUUGUUUUGCUCGCUAAAGAGAACGAUUGACAGUUCGUUUCGUUUGCAUAAAUCAAAAGUUUUGUUUUAAAUUUUCAAUGUACUGUACAUAGUUACAUACAUUUGCUAUGGUAUUGACCUAUUUAUUAACCCGUGUUCUUGUCAUUGUUUGUUUUCGGUUUUGUGAGAUGAGACGGAAUACAAUGAGAGUAGAUCUCGAAAAUGCAAGCGCAAGCAAUCAACCAUCAACUUUCUGGUGAGACAAGAGCCAUACUUAAGAGCCUGUGACAUGGUUAUGAAGGAAGGCAACGCGGUAAGGAUGGCAUUGUGCAGUGCAAGUGCUCAGUGAAUCUAGUUAUUAACACUGAGUUGUAUAAUGACAUUCUUUGAUGAUAAGCGAGGGUCUCGCAGCAAGAGCUGACUAAAGCAAAGAAGGUUAAGCUAUUACAUGGUGCUGUCAGCAGUGGGGCAGGGUCCAAGCUGCCGAUGGCCAGGGCCGCUGAGUGAGAAACCGGCGUACUAUACACGCCGUGUCCAGGAUAUAGCAAUCUGCAUCUGACCAGCGAGAGUCUCUGAGUGUUGGGUUGGUUGGGUUGGUUAGUUUGGCAGACUGUCUAGUACAGGCCGUAAUGGCAGACUGUCUAGAGCAGGCCAUGACUGUUUAUUAUGUUAGUUUAUACUUUGGCUGACUAUCUAGAGCAGGCCCUGAUGGCAGACUGUCUAGAGGCCAUAAGUAGGUAUAUAUGCUGUUAAGGUACUUGUAAUAUGAGAUACUUGUAAUUUGUUUGAAUUGAUAUUUGCGGUUAGUUGUAUUUUAUAAUUGUUGAUGUGUUUUUUUUAAAUUGUAUGCAAAUUCCAUGUUGACGUGUAAAAGUGCCCUUGUGGCCUAUUUGCUGAAUAAAUGUUGAAAUUGAAGAAGUUGGCCUUGUUGCCUGAUUCAUUAUAUUCGUUUAUACUUUGACAAACUGCCCAGAGUAGGCCUUGAAGGCAGACUGUCUAGAACAGGCUAUGAUAGCAGCCUGUCUUCUAGAGCAGGCCGUGAUGGCAGACUGUCUAGACUAAUCUAGUCUGAAGCAGGCCAUAACAAAUUAAAUCAGUACAAUGAUUAGGUGUGAGGUUUGGCAGACUGUCUAGAACAGGCUAUGAUAGCAGCCUGUCUUCUAGAGCAGGCCGUGAUGGCAGACUGUCUAGACGAAUCUAGUCUAGAGCAGGCCAUAACAAAUUAAAUCAUUACAAUGAUUAGGUGUGAGGUUUGGCAGACUGUCUAGAACAGGCUAUGAUAGCAGCCUGUCUUCUAGAGCAGGCCGUUGUGGCAGACUGUCUAGACUAAUCUAGUCUAGAGCAGGCCCUAACAAAUUAAAUCAUUAAAAUGAUUAGGUGUGAGUUUUGGCAGACUGUCUAGAACAGGCUUUGAUAGCAGCUUGUCUUUUAGAGCAGGCCGUGAUGGCAGACUGUCUAGACCAGUCAAGUCUAGAGCAGGCUAUAACAAUUUAUACUUUGGAAUGAUGUCUAGAACAGGCCUUGAAGGCAGACUGUGAUUGUUUAUGAUGUGUUAUAUUUUGUUAAAAUUCCUAGAGCAGGCCUUGAGGGCAGACUGUGAUUUUUGAUGUUGAUUUAUACUUUGCCAAACUGUUUAGAACAGGCCUUGAGGGCAGACUGUGAUUGUUUGUGGUUAUGUAUUAUAUUUUGCCAAACUGUUUAGAGCAGGCCUUAAGGGCAGACUGUGAUUGCUUCUGAUCAUGUUAUAUACUUUUUCAAACUGUUUAGAGCAGGCCUUGAGGCAGACUGUGAUUGUUUAUGAUCAUGUAUUUAUACUUUGCCAGACUGUUUAGAGCAGGCCUUGAGUGCAGACUGUGAUUGUUUAUGAUCAUGUAUUAUACUUUGUCCAACUGUUUAGAGCAGGUCUUGAGUGCAGACUGUGAUUGUUUAUGAUCAUGUAUUAUACUUUGCCCAACUGUUUAGAGCAGGCCUUGAGUGCAGACUGUGAUUGUUUACGAUCAUGUAUUAUACUUUGCUAAAUUGUUUAGAUCAGGCCUUGAGUGCAGACUGUGAUUGUUUAUGAUCAUGUAUUAUACUUUGCCAAAUUGUUUAGAUCAGGCCUUGAGUGCAGACUGUGAUUGUUUAUGAUCAUGUAUUAUACUUUGCCAAAUUGUUUAGAUCAGGCCUUGAGUGCAGACUGUGAUUGUUUAUGAUCAUGUAUUAUACUUUGCCAAAUUGUUUAGAUCAGGCCUUGAGUGCAGACUGUGAUUGUUUAUAAUCAUGUAUUAUACUUUGCCAAAUUGUUUAGAUCAGGCCUUGAGGGCAGACUGUGAUCGUUGAGGUUGGUUUAUACUUUGGCAGACUGCCUAGAGCAGACCAUGAUUGUAAGUUAGUUCAUAUAUUGAAAGACUAUCUAAAGAAGGCUGUUAAUGCUACCAGGUGUUGGUUGUAUUCAAUGACUGUUUACAUGAUCUCAGAUUCAAGCAUGUUAAGCGUUAAGAUUUAUUUCUCAAUAAGGCUAAAGGUUAUUAUUGGCUAUGAUUGAUUCAUGUGAGCCCAUACUGUGCAUAAGAAGUGUACUGUGUAGAACUUUACAAAUACUGUUGUUGUGAAUGUUUAUCUUUGAUAUCGAUAAAAGUGUUACGAUAUAUUGCUGUUGUUAUUAAUGUUUAUAAUUACUUUUAGUGAGAGGGCUCACUUUUAAAAAAAAGGAUGGCCGAAGCUGUAAGCAUCACAAUAGUUAAUAUCCUGUAUGUGGCCUUAUACUGAUAAUAACGUGUAGUAUGCACCGGGCUUUAUACUUUUUGGUUGUUGUGUUUAUGGUCAUUUUAGUUUUAUAUAGAGAACUGUCAGAUUUUGGCGGAAUGCCGUCGACCGAUAUUAUGUACGAUUUGAUCUUAGUUAAUACGGUGUAUCGAUGUAAUAAAAGAAAUAUUAACUGGA
Molecule: long non-coding RNA, 3358 nt
Organism: Cydia pomonella (codling moth)
Lineage: Eukaryota; Metazoa; Arthropoda; Insecta; Lepidoptera; Tortricidae
Exons: 2
Source: RefSeq, a predicted model, not a curated record